AGUGAACGCUGGCGGUAGGCCUAACACAUGCAAGUCGAACGGCAGCACAGUAAGAGCUUGCUCUUACGGGUGGCGAGUGGCGGACGGGUGAGGAAUACAUCGGAAUCUACUUUUUCGUGGGGGAUAACGUAGGGAAACUUACGCUAAUACCGCAUACGACCUACGGGUGAAAGCAGGGGAUCUUCGGACCUUGCGCGAUUGAAUGAGCCGAUGUCGGAUUAGCUAGUUGGCGGGGUAAAGGCCCACCAAGGCGACGAUCCGUAGCUGGUCUGAGAGGAUGAUCAGCCACACUGGAACUGAGACACGGUCCAGACUCCUACGGGAGGCAGCAGUGGGGAAUAUUAGACAAUGGGCGCAAGCCUGAUCCAGCCAUACCGCGUGGGUGAAGAAGGCCUUCGGGUUGUAAAGCCCUUUUGUUGGGAAAGAAAAACAGCAGGUUAAUACCCCGCUGUUCUGACGGUACCCAAAGAAUAAGCACCGGCUAACUUCGUG
RNAcentral lists this ribosomal RNA (492 nucleotides) under uncultured bacterium. RNAcentral's name for it is "partial 16S ribosomal RNA". It matches the Rfam family "Bacterial small subunit ribosomal RNA", at positions 29 to 507 of the family's 1533-position model. The record is from RNAcentral.